UAAAUUCACCCACUGCUUCCGAAUUUGACCAAGAGGAGGCUUGAAGGGCAUUUGUGGAAAUGUUUAUUGGGGAAGAGCUACCAUUUUGCUUCGUUGAAAGCCCAAAAUUCUGAAGAUUUGUGCAUGCCCUACAGGCAAGAUUUAAAGUUCCUUCACAGACUACAUUAGCACGUGUUAUUGGAGCUCUUUAUGCUGAAGAGAAGAUGAAGUUGCAAGAUUUUCUCUCGGCAAAUUGUGGUAGAAAAAAGGAGGCGAAUUGAAGUCAAAGUUGUCCAAGUGCAUAAGGUUACUUUAUUAGCAAUACUAAAGUUCUGAGGAAGCAAGUGAAGCUGAUACGCAAGAUGUUCAAGCCAACAACAUUAAUACCGAUCUUCAUGGCAUGGACUUUUUUCUGCAAGAAACCGGUCAUAGAACAAAUACAAGAUCUGAACUUGAUAGAUAUUUACAAGAAGAAUGCGAGCCAUACUCCCAUAAGUU
Arachis ipaensis is the source of this 477-nucleotide non-coding RNA. The record is from RefSeq and is a predicted model, not a curated record. Lineage: Eukaryota; Viridiplantae; Streptophyta; Magnoliopsida; Fabales; Fabaceae.